This is a non-coding RNA of Eucalyptus grandis, 119 nucleotides long. Lineage: Eukaryota; Viridiplantae; Streptophyta; Magnoliopsida; Myrtales; Myrtaceae. The record is from Rfam.
GGGUGCGAUCAGACCAGCACUAAUGCACCAGGACCCAUCAGAACUCCGAAGUUAAGCUGGCUUGGGCGAGAGUAGUGCUAGGAUGGGUGACCCCUUGGGAAGUCCUCGUGUUGCACCCC